Molecule: long non-coding RNA, 580 nt
Organism: Oreochromis aureus
Lineage: Eukaryota; Metazoa; Chordata; Actinopteri; Cichliformes; Cichlidae
Source: Ensembl
CCAUCAUAUAAUAUAGCGGGUAAAGACAGCUGUCAGGGAGACACGUCCGAUUUUUGGAAAGGGUGCUGUCCCAGACACUUUUUGGCAGGACAGAAGUGGGACUACAAACGCGAAACGGUCCGGCUGGAAAGUUUGGCCAAAGCUGCUCAGCUGAAGUUGCGUGGCAGUCAUUUGCCGUCUGACAGCUUCCAGCUGCAGAGAAACUUCAGAGUUGGACAUUGACCAGGAGCACCUGUGGAGCUCAGAGAGACUUUUGGUCCCCUAGACGCUUAGAGGACAAGCAGCGGCCAGGUGCUGAGGAGACUGCAAGGCGCCAAAUACAUCACCACCCCUCGCUGUGUGACACAUUGCAGUGUUAUGCUAUUUGACCUGCCCAGCCAGCAGCACAGUCUGUCUCCUUUCCUAAUUCGCACCCCCUCCUCGGAAAGUGUGCUCUUUGCCUCCACCUGCGAUGUGGCAGUAAUACCACCGUGGAGACGGGCUGGAGCCUAACCUACACUGAAAAGGAAAUAAAACUCCCGAUGAACUGAAUUAGGGACGGCUGACCCAGCUCAUCUAGAUUCCUCGUACACAAGCAGAC